This 461-nucleotide small RNA is filed under the name Caenorhabditis elegans. Its description in RNAcentral is "Unclassified non-coding RNA C24H12.20". The record is from RNAcentral. Lineage: Eukaryota; Metazoa; Nematoda; Chromadorea; Rhabditida; Rhabditidae.
GACCCGACAGUGCCUCUCCCAGUGUCUCCAAUGUCAAUUCUUGAAGCUGCCUCGCUUUUCUACCAGUUUCCAGUAAUUCCAGGGCUCAAAAUGUAUCCAAGAAUCACCGCAGAGCAAGAGUACGGUGGAGCACACUUGCAACACCUAAAAUUCGAAUUUUUUUGCAGAAACGUGUCCCGUGUCUCGCUGGCUCCACUGGUGACGAGCACAAUGUUGGAACAAUGGCAAGAGUGCUACGCGGAGCUCUACAGCUCGUAUAAAAAGGGACAACGUGGCAGUUUUUACGUGGCGACUGCUGUUUGCAACGUGCUUUUUACGAAAAUGCCGUUGUCGGGUGGUGGUGAUGAUGUGGCGGCAGAUGACACGUCACAAUCUUGCUCGCAGGCUUUUCGAGGGCAGAAGCUUGUCGCUGUGAUCACUCAUACGACGUCGGCGAUCCGAGAGCAUUUGAGAAGCCAGGG